UUAGGGGAGGCUCUGCACAGCUGUGGGACCACAGAAGGCAGGAUCGGUGAUGACCUCCACCAUGGCCUGGUCCCCUCUCCUCCUCAGCCUCCUCGCUCACUGCACAGGGUCCUGGGCCCAGUCUGUGCUGACUCAGCCGUCCUCCGUUUCUCGGGCCCUGGGCCAGACGGUCACCAUCUCCUGCACUGGAAGCAGCUCCAACAUCGGGGGUGGUUAUUAUGUGAACUGGCUCCAACAGCUCCCAGGAAAGGCCCCCAGAACCGUCAUCUAUGGUAACAGCAACCGACCCUCAGGGGUCCCGGAACGAUUCUCUGGCUCCAAGUCUGGCAGCUCAGGCACCCUGACCAUCACUGGGCUCCAGGCUGAGGACGAGGCUGAGUAUUAUUGUGCAUCGUGGGAUGAUAGUCUCAGUGCUCACACAGUGCUCCCCGCCUGUGGGGAAGUGAGACAAAAACCUGCUGUCCCUCAGCAAUGGGUCUCCCUGUGCAGCUCCCCCUCCUUCGCCAAGUCAGCUCUUUCCUUUGUUUCGUCUAAACUGUAGUCUGAACUAAUCUCAAGGAACACGGGCUACAAAAUAUUCCAAAUUCUCUUAAAUUCGGCCCCUCCAGCCUCUCCUAAGCAGGAAGACAUUGUUUGGUUUUCUCCUAUUGAGGAGAAACUCCUGGGUGCCAGGGGCAGGCUGCCCAGGUAACAGAGUCAGCUGAUGAGGGAAACAAAGGCAGGAGAAAUGUUGCUUAAAGUAAAUCCCCACGGAGAGGAAGAAGUAGAAUCCCUGCUUUUCUCGGGUAUGGAGAAAAGAUAAAUAGUUUCAUUUGUUCA
This is a non-coding RNA of Leptonychotes weddellii (Weddell seal), 819 nucleotides long. The record is from the annotation of a RefSeq genome assembly. Lineage: Eukaryota; Metazoa; Chordata; Mammalia; Carnivora; Phocidae.